AGUGAACGCUGGCGGUAGGCCUAACACAUGCAAGUCGAACGGCAGCACAGUAAGAGCUUGCUCUUACGGGUGGCGAGUGGCGGACGGGUGAGGAAUACAUCGGAAUCUACUUUUUCGUGGGGGAUAACGUAGGGAAACUUACGCUAAUACCGCAUACGACCUACGGGUGAAAGCAUGGGAUCUUCGGACCUUGCGCGAUUGAAUGAGCCGAUGUCGGAUUAGCUAGUUGGCGGGGUAAAGGCCCACCAAGGCGACGAUCCGUAGCUGGUCUGAGAGGAUGAUCAGCCACACUGGAACUGAGACACGGUCCAGACUCCUACGGGAGGCAGCAGUGGGGAAUAUUGGACAAUGGGCGCAAGCCUGAUCCAGCCAUACCGCGUGGGUGAAGAAGGCCUUCGGGUUGUAAAGCACUUUUGUUGGGAAAGAAAAGCAGCAGGUUAAUACCCCGCUGUUCUGACGGUACCAAAAGAAUAAGCACCGGCUAACUUCGUG
This 492-nucleotide ribosomal RNA is filed under the name uncultured bacterium. Its description in RNAcentral is "partial 16S ribosomal RNA". It matches the Rfam family "Bacterial small subunit ribosomal RNA", at positions 29 to 507 of the family's 1533-position model. The record is from RNAcentral.